UCCCUAUCGUCUAGAGGCCUAGGACAUCGCCCUUUCACGGCGGUAACCGGGGUUCGAAUCCCCGUAGGGACGCCA
This 75-nucleotide transfer RNA is filed under the name Acinetobacter baumannii. RNAcentral describes it as "tRNA-Glu". It matches the Rfam family "tRNA". From Rfam's summary of the family: Transfer RNA (tRNA) molecules are approximately 80 nucleotides in length. Their secondary structure includes four short double-helical elements and three loops (D, anti-codon, and T loops). The record is from RNAcentral. Lineage: Bacteria; Pseudomonadati; Pseudomonadota; Gammaproteobacteria; Moraxellales; Moraxellaceae. RNAcentral also lists the same sequence under 5 other names.